AUGGCUCUAGGCAGCAGGCUGGAGCUCCUCGUCGUCCUCUCAAGAUGCGGCAGCUUGAUACUCGCUGGCACGGCGGCGGCGGCCAUCCCCGGCGUGGCCAGCCUACCGUUCCGGGCCAAGCAGUUCAUGUGGCACACUCUGUCCUUCGGAGGCAUCCUGUGGGGUGCGGCGCUGCUGCUAUUCCAGUUCUUCUGGCUGUGUUUCGACGACUUCGAGCCGGGAAGUGUCGCGCUCCUGGUGCUGAUCGCCGUCGACUGGGGCGUCGCGUGCCUCAACGCCGGCUCGGCGUGCGCCGCCCUUGCCGCCAACCACUAG
RNAcentral lists this ribosomal RNA (315 nucleotides) under Triticum aestivum (bread wheat). Its description in RNAcentral is "partial small subunit ribosomal RNA". The record is from RNAcentral. Lineage: Eukaryota; Viridiplantae; Streptophyta; Magnoliopsida; Poales; Poaceae.